RNAcentral lists this ribosomal RNA (372 nucleotides) under uncultured organism. RNAcentral's name for it is "bacterial SSU rRNA". It matches the Rfam family "Bacterial small subunit ribosomal RNA", at positions 526 to 896 of the family's 1533-position model. The record is from RNAcentral.
CAGAGGUCUCAAGCGUUGUUCGGAUUCAUUGGGCGUAAAGGGUGCGUAGGCGGCGCGGUAAGUCGGGUGUGAAAUCUCGGAGCUUAACUCCGAAACUGCAUUCGAUACUGCCGUGCUUGAGGACUGGAGAGGAGACCGGAAUUUACGGUGUAGCGGUGAAAUGCGUAGAUAUCGUAAGGAAGACCAGUGGCGAAGGCGGGUCUCUGGACAGUUCCUGACGCUGAGGCACGAAGGUCAGGGGAGCAAACGGGAUUAGAUACCCCGGUAGUCCUGACAGUAAACGGUGCACGUUUGGUGUGGGAGGAUUCGACCCCUUCUGCGCCGGAGCUAACGCGUUAAACGCGCCGCCUGGGGAGUACGGUCGCAAGAUUA